This 429-nucleotide ribosomal RNA is filed under the name Actinomycetes bacterium. Its description in RNAcentral is "Actinobacteria bacterium partial 16S ribosomal RNA". It matches the Rfam family "Bacterial small subunit ribosomal RNA", at positions 355 to 776 of the family's 1533-position model. The record is from RNAcentral. Lineage: Bacteria; Bacillati; Actinomycetota; Actinomycetes.
UAGGGAAUCUUCCGCAAUGGGCGAAAGCCUGACGGAGCAACGCCGCGUGAGUGAUGAAGGUCUUCGGAUCGUAAAACUCUGUUAUUAGGGAAGAACAAAUGUGUAAGUAACUAUGCACGUCUUGACGGUACCUAAUCAGAAAGCCACGGCUAACUACGUGCCAGCAGCCGCGGUAAUACGUAGGUGGCAAGCGUUAUCCGGAAUUAUUGGGCGUAAAGCGCGCGUAGGCGGUUUUUUAAGUCUGAUGUGAAAGCCCACGGCUCAACCGUGGGAGGUCAUUGGAAACUGGAAAACUUGAGUGCAGAAGAGGAAAGUGGAAUUCCAUGUGUAGCGGUGAAAUGCGCAGAGAUAUGGAGGAACACCAGUGGCGAAGGCGACUUUCUGGUCUGUAACUGACGCUGAUGUGCGAAAGCGUGGGGAUCAAACAGG